GUCCGCCUGCCCUGUGACUAUAUGUUUAACGGCCGCGGUAUUUUGACCGUGCGAAGGUAGCGCAAUCACUUGUCCUUUAAAUGAGGACCUGUAUGAAUGGCACGACGAGGGCUUAACUGUCUCCUCUUUUAGGUCAAUGAAAUUGAUCUCUCCGUGCAGAAGCGGAGAUAUAACCAUAAGACGAGAAGACCCUGUGGAGCUUCAGACACCAAAACAGACCAUGUUAAAGACCCUAAAACAAAAGACUAAACUUAAUGUCCCCUGCCUUGAUGUCUUCGGUUGGGGUGACCGAGGAGAAGAACACAACCUCCAUGCGGAAUAGGAGUACUACUCCCACAACCAAGAACCCCCGUUCUAACCACCAGAAUUUCUGACCCUACGAUCCGGCAACGCCGAUUAACGAACCAAGUUACCCCAGGGAUAACAGCGCAAUCCCCUUUUAGAGCCCCUAUCAACAAGGGGGUUUACGACCUCGAUGUUGGAUCAGGACAUCCUAAUGGCGCAGCCGCUAUUAAGGGUUCGUUUGUUCAACGAUUAAAGUCCUACGUGAUCUG
RNAcentral lists this ribosomal RNA (554 nucleotides) under Diodon nicthemerus. RNAcentral describes it as "partial 16S ribosomal RNA". It matches the Rfam family "Bacterial large subunit ribosomal RNA", at positions 1853 to 2607 of the family's 2925-position model. The record is from RNAcentral. Lineage: Eukaryota; Metazoa; Chordata; Actinopteri; Tetraodontiformes; Diodontidae.